GAAGAUUCUUCUUUGAUCCUGGAAUACAAGGAAAAUGCACUAAUCAAAAUUUCAAGGUCAAUGGACACUACCCAAAGCUACUCCAUGAGAACCCGACUUUGGAAGAAGAGACUGUAGAAGAGCUCUCUUUGGGAAAAACAAUGUUAUAUCACCCUAUUCAAAGGGUUGAAAGAGUCUUGUUUGGAGUUGUGUGAGGUUGAAUAAUUAUGUUUGUAAUAUUCAGAAGUUGGUAGAAAAAGAAAACAAAAAUAGAAAAUAAAAAAAAUGAAUGAAAAAAAAAUAGAAGGGUGUAUACAUGUCAAUACAUACUCCUUAUGAAAAGAAAAAAAAGAGAAAGGAGAAGAAAAAUAUGAAUAAAAACAGUUACUAUAGAGUUGUUGAAGUGAAUGAAAUAUUUUAUAAAUUCAAC
Molecule: long non-coding RNA, 409 nt
Filed under: Lathyrus oleraceus (garden pea)
Lineage: Eukaryota; Viridiplantae; Streptophyta; Magnoliopsida; Fabales; Fabaceae
Description: Pisum sativum (pea) long non-coding RNA (PSAT_LNC030611)
Source: RNAcentral